UGAGUAACACGUGGGCAAUCUGCCCUGCACUUCGGGAUAAGCCUGGGAAACUGGGUCUAAUACCGGAUAGGACCUUUAGACGCAUGUCUUUUGGUGGAAAGCUUUUGCGGUGUGGGAUGGGCCCGCGGCCUAUCAGCUUGUUGGUGGGGUGAUGGCCUACCAAGGCGACGACGGGUAGCCGGCCUGAGAGGGUGUCCGGCCACACUGGGACUGAGAUACGGCCCAGACUCCUACGGGAGGCAGCAGUGGGGAAUAUUGCACAAUGGGCGCAAGCCUGAUGCAGCGACGCCGCGUGGGGGAUGACGGCCUUCGGGUUGUAAACCUCUUUCACCAUCGACGAAGGUCCGGGUUUUCUCGGAUUGACGGUAGGUGGAGAAGAAGCACCGGCCAACUACGUGCCAGCAGCCGCGGUAAUACGUAGGGUGCGAGCGUUGUCCGGAAUUACUGGGCGUAAAGAGCUCGUAGGUGGUUUGUCGCGUUGUUCGUGAAAUCUCACGGCUUAACUGUGAGCGUGCGGGCGAUACGGGCAGACUAGAGUACUGCAGGGGAGACUGGAAUUCCUGGUGUAGCGGUGGAAUGCGCAGAUAUCAGGAGGAACACCGGUGGCGAAGGCGGGUCUCUGGGCAGUAACUGACGCUGAGGAGCGAAAGCGUGGGGAGCGAACAGGAUUAGAUACCCUGGUAGUCCACGCCGUAAACGGUGGGUACUAGGUGUGGGUUUCCUUCCUUGGGAUCCGUGCCGUAGCUAACGCAUUAAGUACCCCCGCCUGGGGGAGUACGGGCCGCAAGGCUAAAACUCAAAGGAAUUUGACGGGGGGCCCGCACAA
This 826-nucleotide ribosomal RNA is filed under the name Mycobacterium sp. RNAcentral describes it as "bacterial SSU rRNA". It matches the Rfam family "Bacterial small subunit ribosomal RNA", at positions 107 to 928 of the family's 1533-position model. The record is from RNAcentral. Lineage: Bacteria; Bacillati; Actinomycetota; Actinomycetes; Mycobacteriales; Mycobacteriaceae.